CUGCUUUUCCAUCCUAGCAACCACCCUCUGGAGCUCUUAUUUGUGCUUUGAAUCCAUCACUCUGCUGCUGUGAUGUGUCGCUUUCACUGGAAGCACUUGAGGUGCCUUUUCCUGGCAGGUUAGGCAGCAGCCAAGCGGAGAGAACAAGGUGGCCUUAAUGGUUGGCUUAAUGGUGUGUUAAGUGUUCAUUUCUGCUGAAUUGAACACAGGCUUUGUAAGUGUCUAGCUUCAUUGGGUUGCUGUCAACCAACAUGCAUAGAGUACUACAUUUUGAAGAAAUGUGUGCUUUGAGUGGAGCAGAGUAUGAGGAAAAUAUCCAGAAGGAUGUUGUGAGGUGAUCCUGGUAAUGGCGAUUUACGCAGAGAUCUGCAUGAGUUAUCACUUCCUCUUCUGAUGAGGAAGGUGGGAUUCUUCUCACCUGGUUUCAAAGACUGACGUCUCGUUUUCAAAAUGCUGAGAUGGAAAAUAUGAAAGAGCAUGCAUUUUAAUAAUAACCACACUUUCUCAUGCACAUGUGUGAUUUUUCUUUUUUACUUUAUAUUUCAGAUAGCAGUAGAAACUGUUUCUACUUCCAUUAUUUGUACAAUCUAUUGAAGCUUGGUGGGUGGAAACUCUUAACAGGGAGAUAAGAGCAGAAAUCAACUUCACAACCAACAUCAGAUCUCAUGUAGAUUAUAACUUCAACUCUUAAUAGAAGGCCACUGG
RNAcentral lists this long non-coding RNA (705 nucleotides) under Homo sapiens (human). RNAcentral describes it as "HSALNT0124847". The record is from RNAcentral. Lineage: Eukaryota; Metazoa; Chordata; Mammalia; Primates; Hominidae.